GAGAUGAAGGUAAAACACAAAAUGACCGACGCAUGCUUCGACGAGAACAUGUCAUUCUGGCACGAACGUCUUCCCAAGGGGAACAAGUGCCCGACCAAUUUGGAGGAGGCGAAGAAAAUCGUGUGUCCUCUGGAUUUACCGCACGUGAAAUACCAUGUGUGCAUGAACAAUUGCAUCAUUUAUCGGGACGAGCACGCGGAGUCUACCAUAUGUCCGGUGUGCGGCGUCACUCGAUACAAGAAGAGGAAGAAAGCUCCUCGAAAAGUGGUGUGGUACUUUCCGAUCACUCCUCGUCUGCAGCGGUAUUUCACAGACCCUAAGGUAGCAAAGCUCUUGCGUUGGCAUGCGGAUAGGGAGGAGAAGAAGCGAGAAGAUGACGCAAAUGAUCCGGAGAUAGAUAAAAAAGACAAGAUGCUGAGUCACCCUAAGGAUGCGAGCCAGUGGCAAGCGUUGAACUUC
RNAcentral lists this ribosomal RNA (459 nucleotides) under Triticum aestivum (bread wheat). RNAcentral describes it as "partial small subunit ribosomal RNA". Lineage: Eukaryota; Viridiplantae; Streptophyta; Magnoliopsida; Poales; Poaceae. The record is from RNAcentral.